RNAcentral lists this unclassified non-coding RNA (300 nucleotides) under uncultured fungus. RNAcentral describes it as "sequence contains 5.8S rRNA gene, ITS2". The stretch from base 1 to 71 matches the Rfam family "5.8S ribosomal RNA", at positions 84 to 154 of the family's 154-position model. Lineage: Eukaryota; Fungi. The record is from RNAcentral.
GUGAGUCAUCGAAUCUUUGAACGCACAUUGCGCUCUAUAGUAUUCUAUAGAGCAUGCUUGUCUGAGCGUUAGCUCCCUUCUACUCAAACCUUUGUAAAAGGUUUAGAUAUUGUUGAAAAGGUAAUUUAAAACAUUACUUUUCAAAAAUACAGAAACAGUAUUAGUUGCACCUGAAUUAAACGUAAUAGUUCUAUUAUAUAUUGUUUCUUUUAGAGAGUAUACUACUUACCUUAUAACCUACUAAAUCUAUAGGUGACUUUAGAUCAAGUAAGGAUACUUGCUGAACUUAAGCAUAUCAAU